ACUAGGGCAGCAAAGCCCGGCAUAAUGCAAAAGGCCUAAGCCCUUUCCACAGAGGUUCAAAUCCUCUCCCUAGUU
This 75-nucleotide transfer RNA is filed under the name Phoeniculus purpureus (green woodhoopoe). Its description in RNAcentral is "partial tRNA-Leu". It matches the Rfam family "tRNA". From Rfam's summary of the family: Transfer RNA (tRNA) molecules are approximately 80 nucleotides in length. Their secondary structure includes four short double-helical elements and three loops (D, anti-codon, and T loops). Further hydrogen bonds mediate the characteristic L-shaped molecular structure. tRNAs have two regions of fundamental functional importance: the anti-codon, which is responsible for specific mRNA codon recognition, and the 3' end, to which the tRNAs corresponding amino acid is attached (by aminoacyl-tRNA synthetases). tRNAs cope with the degeneracy of the genetic code in two manners: having more than one tRNA (with a specific anti-codon) for a particular amino acid; and 'wobble' base-pairing, i.e. permitting non-standard base-pairing at the 3rd anti-codon position. The record is from RNAcentral. Lineage: Eukaryota; Metazoa; Chordata; Aves; Bucerotiformes; Phoeniculidae.